Molecule: long non-coding RNA, 2211 nt
Organism: Cottoperca gobio
Lineage: Eukaryota; Metazoa; Chordata; Actinopteri; Perciformes; Bovichtidae
Product: flocculation protein FLO11-like
Source: Ensembl
AUGGAGGAAUCCUCAACAGCAACACCAACCACAUAUAUCCAGUCCUUAUCUACCCAACCUGACCCGUCAACUGUUGAUGUCACCACUACAAACUCAGCUCAGUCCACCAGUGAUGCUGAGGUCAGCUCUACUGUUUCUACUCAAUCCACUCAGCACGUGAAAGACAGGAUGGGAGAAAGCAGCAACACCAGCACUGUUGUCGACCCAGCUUCAUCACCAGUGGGCAACUCCUCAAUGAGUUCUUCUUCCAUAUCCCAGUCCAACACAGUCCAGCACUCAUACUCAACUUCAGAAGCUCACCCAACACCUGUGACCCAGACUCCAGCAGCCACCAUUACAACCAGCACUGCUUGCAGCAGCAUCAACAGCAGUUCUUUGAAUAAGGAGAAAGACAGAUACUCCUCAGGGCUGCUGAUCUCCUGCGCCCCAGUAGAAGAGACUGCAGCUCCCACCACCCCACCUUCUCCAUCAUCAACACCAUCACCAUCCUCAAGUGCACUACAAAAAUCUCCUCCUCCCACAGCUGUUACUCCAUUGGUAACUGACGACAAUGUCACCACCAUCGACUCCCAGACUGCACCUGUCUCUGUUACUGAAGAUACCACAAGAAGCAACACAAUAGUGGAGCACAUUGUCUCUGAAGACACACCUGAACAGGGGAUGGAGGAAUCCUCAACAGCAACACCAACCACAUAUAUCCAGUCCUUAUCUACCCAACCUGACCCGUCAACUGUUGAUGUCACCACUACAAACUCAGCUCAGUCCACCAGUGAUGCUGAGGUCAGCUCUACUGUUUCUACUCAAUCCACUCAGCACGUGAAAGACAGGAUGGGAGAAAGCAGCAACACCAGCACUGUUGUCGACCCAGCUUCAUCACCAGUGGGCAACUCCUCAAUGAGUUCUUCUUCCAUAUCCCAGUCCAACACAGUCCAGCACUCAUACUCAACUUCAGAAGCUCACCCAACACCUGUGACCCAGACUCCAGCAGCCACCAUUACAACCAGCACUGCUUGCAGCAGCAUCAACAGCAGUUCUUUGAAUAAGGAGAAAGACAGAUACUCCUCAGGUAAGUUGGUCCAAAGCCAAAAGACUUGAGUCCAGUAAGUCUAAGAUUCUACAGGCUAUAGCGUCUCUGUGAUGCUCUCCUCACUCACAGUGAUUCUUUGAGCUAAAUGACAUUUUGAUAUUUGGCACACAAAAUGUUUACCAUCGUAGUUUAGCAUGUUAACAUGCUAAUAUUUGCUAAUUAGCAAAAGUAAAGCUGAGGCUGAUGGGAGGGUCAUUAGCUUUAAUGGUAUUUGGUCAUAAAUCAAAGUAUUGGACAAAUUGAAAUGCUGACCUGAUGACUUAUUUAGCAUCGCACUCCUUUAACAUUGUUGGACUCAUGAUCAACAGAUUAAAAAAAGGGAUCAGAACCAAGAGAUAUAAUUUUUUUGUUAUUCCAUACAUUCUUUUUCCUUGUGAAAACCUGGCACUUACACCAAACGCAAUGCAAAAGGAUAUAGAAAGACCUGAGAGGCAAGUGAGACAAAAAACAUUUAUUAUUUGCUGUCGAGAUGAGUAUUUCAAUAAUUUAUUUUCUAAAAAGCAUUACCUACCUAAGCUUUAAGUAGUGGAGUUUCCCCUUCCCUUUCAUUUUUUACUUUUAGACCUUCCCUUUAUUUGCCAAAAUAAUAAUACAUUUUUUUAAUCAAAUAUCUUGAUUACAUAAUGUGCUUACACAAAAGUACCUUGUGUUUAGAGUGCAUGGAGAAAUUAAAACUCGCCUGGAAGAAAACAUAUAAAAAUAUGUAGUCCUAUUUAGAAAAUAUGGUAGAGGUGCACUACAGCCUCUUGUGGACAAAAUGAGUAUUACAAGACAAAGCACUUAGGCUGAUGGGAAUGUCAUUAGUUUUUCUGUAAAAACUUGAAUGGCAAUCAAUCCAAUCAUUGUCAAGAUAUUUCAGUCCCGACAAAAGGAACGACCAACACUGCCAUCCCUAGAGCCAUGCUUUAAGCAAACGGCAUUAAAAAAUUGGAACUUUCCAUUUUAAUUCCCGUUUAUUUACUACUAAGCUAUCAAUUGAAGAAGUACAAAUCUUGUCGCUACCAAAUACUGCUAACUGCAUACUGUACUGGCUAUUUGUUCACUGAUAAAUUACUAGUACUGUUACAGUUAGCUAGCUAUGUAGUUUGCAUGUGUGUUAUAUUUGUUUGGAUUAAUCUCGUACC